CAUAUGCUUGUCUCAAAGAUUAAGCCAUGCAUGUCUAAGUCCAAGCUGUGUUCACACGGCGAGACCGCGGACGGCUCAUUAAAUCAGUCGUGGUCCAAAUGGGCCAGUGCAAAUCCUACUUGGAUAACUGUGGUAAUUCCAGAGCUAAUACAUGCAACUGAUAUCCCGAAGGCGGUGUUGGGGCUUGCUUGCCUUGCGCUGCGCUGCUCUGACGGAUGCUUUUAUUAGACCAAGCCGCUGAGGACUUGAGGGUUCGCGCUCUCUUGUUUGACUCGUGUGAUGGUGACUCUGGAUAACCAAAUUCUGACAAGCGCACGUACUUCUCUUCUGAGCGAGACGGCGCUGCCACUUUCGAGUGUCUGCCUUAUCAGCUAUCAACCGUUCGUUAUGCGCGACCGAUGGCUUUGACGGGUAACGGGGAAUCAGGGUUCGAUUCCGGAGAGGCAGCCUGAGAGACGGCUACCACGUCCAAGGACGGCAGCAGGCACGCAAAUUACCCAAUCCCAGCAAAUGGGGGAGGUAGUGACGAAAUCUAACGAUGCGGGCGCCCUUUCUGGGGCCCCGCAAUCGGAAUGGGCACUUUCUAAACAACCUGUUGAGAACCUACUGAAG
RNAcentral lists this ribosomal RNA (612 nucleotides) under Eulimnogammarus verrucosus. RNAcentral describes it as "SSU rRNA". It matches the Rfam family "Eukaryotic small subunit ribosomal RNA", at positions 25 to 553 of the family's 1831-position model. The record is from RNAcentral. Lineage: Eukaryota; Metazoa; Arthropoda; Malacostraca; Amphipoda; Eulimnogammaridae.